This 327-nucleotide ribosomal RNA is filed under the name Triticum aestivum (bread wheat). RNAcentral describes it as "partial small subunit ribosomal RNA". The record is from RNAcentral. Lineage: Eukaryota; Viridiplantae; Streptophyta; Magnoliopsida; Poales; Poaceae.
AUGUUGCUAUGUGCCUGUUUUGUUCAAAUGCAUACUGUGUUAGUUGCUACCUGCUGCAAGUAUCUCUUUUCUUCUUCUAUUCUCAGUCCUCCAGGCCUCUGCUUGCUUGUGCUCUUAUUAAUGCCAUUUGUUAGCCUUGUAGGAUUUUUAGUUUCUUCUUGUGGACGAUCCUCAGGUCUAGCAAGACCACACAUGCAGAAUUUUUUUGUCUUUAUUGUUUUUUGUUACCUUGUUGUCAAAGAGAGAUGUUCAGGUCUGUCUAGGUUCCAAAGAAGAUAUUCUUCUUUGAUUUGUUUCUUGUUGUGGAGGAGCCUCAAUUCUAGCUAA